RNAcentral lists this unclassified non-coding RNA (209 nucleotides) under Hevea brasiliensis (rubber tree). Lineage: Eukaryota; Viridiplantae; Streptophyta; Magnoliopsida; Malpighiales; Euphorbiaceae. The record is from RNAcentral.
UUCAACAGACCCAACAACGCAGUUCGAUCAAUGCUCCCUUUCGCCAGCAUGUCAUCUUCAAGAGUACAAUAAGCAUCAAGCGACCGCUCCUUGAUAUCCGCCAACAACGUGGUCGCAAUAGUGGUGUGCUUAUCAAUCAUCUUCUUCCGCUCAGUCAGCACCGGAAGCGAGUUCACUGCAUUCAUCAGGUGCUUCGUGUUACCAAUCAG